AUUGAACGCUGGCGGCAGGCUUAACACAUGCAAGUCGAGCGGGGUGAUGGUGCUUGCACUAUCACUUAGCGGCGGACGGGUGAGUAAUGCUUAGGAAUCUGCCUAUUAGUGGGGGACAACAUCUCGAAAGGAAUGCUAAUACCGCAUACGUCCUACGGGAGAAAGCAGGGGAUCACUUGUGACCUUGCGCUAAUAGAUGAGCCUAAGCCGGAUUAGCUAGUUGGUGGGGUAAAGGCCUACCAAGGCGACGAUCUGUAGCGGGUCUGGGAGGAUGAUCCGCCACACUGGGACUGAGACACGGCCCAGACUCCUACGGGAGGCAGCAGUGGGGAAUAUUGUACAAUGGGGGGAACCCUGAUCCAGCCAUGCCGCGUGUGUGAAGAAGGCCUUAUGGUUGUAAAGCACUUUAAGCGAGGAGGAGGCUCUUUUGGUUAAUACCCAAGAUGAGUGGACGUUACUCGCAGAAUAAGCACCGGCUAACUCUGUGCCAGCCGCCGCCGUAA
RNAcentral lists this ribosomal RNA (503 nucleotides) under uncultured bacterium. RNAcentral describes it as "partial 16S ribosomal RNA". It matches the Rfam family "Bacterial small subunit ribosomal RNA", at positions 30 to 523 of the family's 1533-position model. The record is from RNAcentral.